This 253-nucleotide ribosomal RNA is filed under the name uncultured bacterium. RNAcentral describes it as "partial 16S ribosomal RNA". It matches the Rfam family "Bacterial small subunit ribosomal RNA", at positions 524 to 776 of the family's 1533-position model. The record is from RNAcentral.
UACGUAGGGUGCAAGCGUUGUCCGGAAUUAUUGGGCGUAAAGAGCUCGUAGGCGGUUUGUCGCGUCUGCUGUGAAAUCUAGAGGCUCAACCUCUAGCCUGCAGUGGGUACGGGCAGACUUGAGUGGUGUAGGGGAGACUGGAAUUCCUGGUGUAGCGGUGGAAUGCGCAGAUAUCAGGAGGAACACCGAUGGCGAAGGCAGGUCUCUGGGCACUUACUGACGCUGAGGAGCGAAAGCGUGGGGAGCGAACAGG